RNAcentral lists this ribosomal RNA (505 nucleotides) under uncultured bacterium. Its description in RNAcentral is "partial 16S ribosomal RNA". It matches the Rfam family "Bacterial small subunit ribosomal RNA", at positions 28 to 507 of the family's 1533-position model. The record is from RNAcentral.
GACGAACGCUGGCGGCGUGCCUAAUACAUGCAAGUAGAACGCACAGUUUAUACCGUAGCUUGCUACACCAUAGACUGUGAGUUGCGAACGGGUGAGUAACGCGUAGGUAACCUGCCUGGUAGCGGGGGAUAACUAUUGGAAACGAUAGCUAAUACCGCAUAAUAUUAAUUAUUGCAUGAUAAUUAAUUGAAAGGUGCAAUUGCACCACUACCAGAUGGACCUGCGUUGUAUUAGCUAGUAGGUGAGGUAACGGCUCACCUAGGCGACGAUACAUAGCCGACCUGAAAGGGUGAUCGGCCACACUGGGACUGGGACACGGCCCAGACUCCUACGGGAGGCAGCAGUAGGGGAUCUUCGGGAAAGGACGAAAGUCUGAACGAGCAACGCCGCGUGAGUGAAGGAGGUUUUCGGGUCGUAAAGCUCUGUUGUAAGAGAAGAACGGGUGUGAGAGUGGAAAGUUCACACUGUGACGGUAUCUUACCAGAAAGGGACGGCUAACUACGUG